AGUGAACGCUGGCGGUAGGCCUAACACAUGCAAGUCGAACGGCAGCACAGUAAGAGCUUGCUCUUACGGGUGGCGAGUGGCGGACGGGUGAGGAAUACAUCGGAAUCUACUUUUUCGUGGGGGAUAACGUAGGGAAACUUACGCUAAUACCGCAUACGACCUACGGGUGAAAGCAGGGGAUCUUCGGACCUUGCGCGAUUGAAUGAGCCGAUGUCGGAUUAGCUAGUUGGCGGGGUAAAGGCCCACCAAGGCGACGAUCCGUAGCUGGUCUGAGAGGAUGAUCGGCGACACUGGAACUGAGACACGGUCCAGACUCCUACGGGAGGCAGCAGUGGGGAAUAUUGGACAAAGGGCGCAAGCCUGAUCCAGCCAGACCGCGUGGGUGAAGAAGGCCUUCGGGUUGUAAAGCCCUUUUGUUGGGAAAGAAAAGCAGCAGGUUAAUACCCCGCUGUUCUGACGGUACCCAAAGAAUAAGCACCGGCUAACUUCGUG
This 492-nucleotide ribosomal RNA is filed under the name uncultured bacterium. Its description in RNAcentral is "partial 16S ribosomal RNA". It matches the Rfam family "Bacterial small subunit ribosomal RNA", at positions 29 to 507 of the family's 1533-position model. The record is from RNAcentral.